Molecule: ribosomal RNA, 585 nt
Filed under: Papiliotrema flavescens
Lineage: Eukaryota; Fungi; Basidiomycota; Tremellomycetes; Tremellales; Rhynchogastremaceae
Description: LSU rRNA
Rfam family: Eukaryotic large subunit ribosomal RNA
Source: RNAcentral
AAACUAACAAGGAUUCCCCUAGUAACGGCGAGUGAACCGGGAAGAGCUCAAAUUUGAAAUCUGGCGUGCUCAGUGCGUCCGAGUUGUAAUCUAUAGAGUCGUUUUCCGUGCCGGACUGUGUCCAAGUCCCUUGGAACAGGGUAUCAAAGAGGGUGAUAAUCCCGUACUUGACACAAUGACCGGUGCUCUGUGAUACGUCUUCUACGAGUCGAGUUGUUUGGGAAUGCAGCUCAAAAUGGGUGGUGAGUUCCAUCUAAAGCUAAAUAUUGGCGAGAGACCGAUAGCGAACAAGUACCGUGAGGGAAAGAUGAAAAGCACUUUGGAAAGAGAGUUAAACAGUACGUGAAAUUGUUAAAAGGGAAACGAUUGAAGUCAGUCGUGACUGAGAGGCUCAGCCGGUUCUGCCGGUGUAUUCCCCUCAGUCGGGUCAACAUCAGUUUUGUUCGGUGGAUAAGGGCAGUUGGAAGGUGGCACCCUCGGGUGUGUUAUAGCCAGCUGUCGCAUACAUCGGAUGAGACUGAGGAAUGCAGCUCGCCUUUAUGGCCGGGGUUCGCCCACGUUCGAGCUUAGGAUGUGACAAAUUGG